GACGAACGCUGGCGGCGUGCUUAACACAUGCAAGUCGAACGGAAAGGCCCUGCUUUUGUGGGGUGCUCGAGUGGCGAACGGGUGAGUAACACGUGAGUAACCUGCCCUUGACUUUGGGAUAACUUCAGGAAACUGGGGCUAAUACCGGAUAGGAGCUCCUGCUGCAUGGUGGGGGUUGGAAAGUUUCGGCGGUUGGGGAUGGACUCGCGGCUUAUCAGCUUGUUGGUGGGGUAGUGGCUUACCAAGGCUUUGACGGGUAGCCGGCCUGAGAGGGUGACCGGCCACAUUGGGACUGAGAUACGGCCCAGACUCCUACGGGAGGCAGCAGUGGGGAAUAUUGCACAAUGGGCGGAAGCCUGAUGCAGCAACGCCGCGUGCGGGAUGGCGGCCUUCGGGUUGUAAACCGCUUUCGCCUGUGACGAAGCGUGAGUGACGGUAAUGGGUAAAGAAGCACCGGCUAACUACGUGCCAGCAGCCGCGGUGAUACGUAGGGUGCGAGCGUUGUCCGGAUUUAUUGGGCGUAAAGGGCUCGUAGGUGGUUGAUCGCGUCGGAAGUGUAAUCUUGGGGCUUAACCCUGAGCGUGCUUUCGAUACGGGUUGACUUGAGGAAGGUAGGGGAGAAUGGAAUUCCUGGUGGAGCGGUGGAAUGCGCAGAUAUCAGGAGGAACACCAGUGGCGAAGGCGGUUCUCUGGGCCUUUCCUGACGCUGAGGAGCGAAAGCGUGGGGAGCGAACAGGCUUAGAUACCCUGGUAGUCCACGCUGUAAACGGUGGGUACUAGGUGUGGGGUCCAUUCCACGGGUUCCGUGCCGUAGCUAACGCUUUAAGUACCCCGCCUGGGGAGUACGGCCGCAAGGCUAAAACUCAAAGGAAUUGACGGGGCCCCGCACAAGCGGCGGAGCAUGCGGAUUAAUUCGAUGCAACGCGUAGAACCUUACCUGGGUUUGACAUGGAUCGGGAGCGCUCAGAGAUGGGUGUGCCUCUUUUGGGGUCGGUUCACAGGUGGUGCAUGGCUGUCGUCAGCUCGUGUCGUGAGAUGUUGGGUUAAGUCCCGCAACGAGCGCAACCCUUGUUCACUGUUGCCAGCACGUUAUGGUGGGGACUCAGUGGAGACCGCCGGGGUCAACUCGGAGGAAGGUGGGGAUGACGUCAAGUCAUCAUGCCCCUUAUGUCCAGGGCUUCACGCAUGCUACAAUGGCUGGUACAGAGAGUGGCGAGCCUGUGAGGGUGAGCGAAUCUCGGAAAGCCGGUCUCAGUUCGGAUUGGGGUCUGCAACUCGACCUCAUGAAGUCGGAGUCGCUAGUAAUCGCAGAUCAGCAACGCUGCGGUGAAUACGUUCCCGGGGCU
Molecule: ribosomal RNA, 1346 nt
Filed under: uncultured bacterium
Lineage: Bacteria
Description: bacterial SSU rRNA
Rfam family: Bacterial small subunit ribosomal RNA
Source: RNAcentral